UGUGGAAAGGUAUAGUAUGCAUAUAAGUUUUUGAUAUUUAGGGUUAAAGUUUAAUUCUUUAAUUUACAA
RNAcentral lists this transfer RNA (69 nucleotides) under Leptobelus sp. HL-2012. Its description in RNAcentral is "tRNA-Gln". Lineage: Eukaryota; Metazoa; Arthropoda; Insecta; Hemiptera; Membracidae. The record is from RNAcentral.